Molecule: small nucleolar RNA, 62 nt
Filed under: Euglena gracilis
Lineage: Eukaryota; Euglenozoa; Euglenophyceae; Euglenales; Euglenaceae
Description: Eg-m133 box C/D methylation-guide
Source: RNAcentral
CAAAUGAUGACCUCCAGAUGGAUGACUGCUUCUGAGAUUCUUGAAGAUACAUCUAUCUGAAC